Molecule: unclassified non-coding RNA, 394 nt
Filed under: soil metagenome
Description: partial contains 5.8S ribosomal RNA, internal transcribed spacer 2, and large subunit ribosomal RNA
Rfam family: 5.8S ribosomal RNA (bases 1-122)
Source: RNAcentral
GAUGAAGAACGUAGCGAAAUGCGAUACUUGGUGUGAAUUGCAGAAUCCCGUGAACCAUCGAGUCUUUGAACGCAAGUUGCGCCCGAAGCCACUAGGCCGAGGGCACGCCUGCCUGGGCGUCACACGUCGUUGCCCCCCCCCCAUCUACUCCUUCGGGAUUGCGGGGGGCGGAUGAUGGCCUCCCGUGCGCCUAGCCGCGCGGUUGGCAUAAAUACCAAGUCCUCGGCGACGCACGCCACGACAAUCGGUGGUUGCGAAACCUCGGUUGCCCGUCGUGUGCGUUCGUCGCGCAUCGAGGGCUCGAAAAAAUGCUCGGCUCCGGCUCGGCUUUCAACGCGACCCCAGGUCAGGCGGGGUUACCCGCUGAAUUUAAGCAUAUCAAUUAAGCGGAGGA